This 250-nucleotide ribosomal RNA is filed under the name uncultured bacterium. Its description in RNAcentral is "partial 16S ribosomal RNA". It matches the Rfam family "Bacterial small subunit ribosomal RNA", at positions 15 to 253 of the family's 1533-position model. The record is from RNAcentral.
GAUCAUGGCUCAGGAUGAACGCUAGCUACAGGCUUAACACAUGCAAGUCGAGGGGAAACGAUAUUGGAAGCUUGCUUCCGAUAGGCGUCGACCGGCGCACGGGUGAGUAACGCGUAUCCAACCUGCCCACCACUUGGGGAUAACCUUGCGAAAGUAAGACUAAUACCCAAUGAUAUCUCUAGAAGACAUCUGAAAGAGGUUAAAGAUUUAUCGGUGUACGAUGGGGAGUGCGUUCCAUUAGGUAGUAGGG